CGGCGCGGCCUCCAGCGUUUCAGGCGCGGUGACAUGGGGUGUCGGGGGUCGGAGGUUCAAAUCCUCUCGUGCCGACCA
RNAcentral lists this transfer RNA (78 nucleotides) under Escherichia coli. RNAcentral describes it as "tRNA-Pro". Lineage: Bacteria; Pseudomonadati; Pseudomonadota; Gammaproteobacteria; Enterobacterales; Enterobacteriaceae. The record is from RNAcentral. RNAcentral also lists the same sequence under 6 other names.